RNAcentral lists this ribosomal RNA (530 nucleotides) under Dactylosporangium salmoneum. Its description in RNAcentral is "bacterial SSU rRNA". It matches the Rfam family "Bacterial small subunit ribosomal RNA", at positions 31 to 578 of the family's 1533-position model. The record is from RNAcentral. Lineage: Bacteria; Bacillati; Actinomycetota; Actinomycetes; Micromonosporales; Micromonosporaceae.
GAACGCUGGCGGCGUGCUUAACACAUGCAAGUCGAGCGGAAAGGCCCUUCGGGGUACUCGAGCGGCGAACGGGUGAGUAACACGUGAGUAACCUGCCCUAGGCUUUGGGAUAACCCUCGGAAACGGGGGCUAAUACCGGAUAUUCAUACUUGGCGGCAUCGUUGGGUGUGGAAAGUUUUUCGGCUUGGGAUGGGCUCGCGGCCUAUCAGCUUGUUGGUGGGGUGAUGGCCUACCAAGGCGACGACGGGUAGCCGGCCUGAGAGGGCGACCGGCCACACUGGGACUGAGACACGGCCCAGACUCCUACGGGAGGCAGCAGUGGGGAAUAUUGCACAAUGGGCGGAAGCCUGAUGCAGCGACGCCGCGUGAGNGAUGAAGGCCUUCGGGUUGUAAACCUCUUUCGACAGGGACGAAGCGUGAGUGACGGUACCUGGAGAAGAAGCGCCGGCCAACUACGUGCCAGCAGCCGCGGUAAGACGUAGGGCGCGAGCGUUGUCCGGAUUUAUUGGGCGUAAAGAGCUCGUAGGCGG